Molecule: long non-coding RNA, 1222 nt
Organism: Podarcis raffonei (Aeolian wall lizard)
Lineage: Eukaryota; Metazoa; Chordata; Lepidosauria; Squamata; Lacertidae
Exons: 3
Source: RefSeq, a predicted model, not a curated record
GAGCUUUGGGUGCGGCAGAAGCGUCAACAGCCCCGUUUGUGAUUGGCCCGGCGGCCCGGAAUGUGGGAGGAGAGAGAAGGCGGAGGGAGUGCGCUUGCGCGAAGUCGACGCCUUUGGGCGCUCCGGGAGUGACGAGGCAGUACAGCGCGAGCAGAUGUUCGUUAGGGGCCAGGCUUUGAUCUCUGUUGUUUCUGCUCUCCCUCAGCGCAGAGAUAGCGGGCCUUGGUUCUGCGCGCGCUUUUUUUACUCGCCGUCCUUCUGAGGGGGCGCGUUGAGUCGUCGAGAUGCUGCCGCCCUUCUGACGGGAUUCGGCAGCUGCACCCGACAGGCAGAAACGCAACCGGUGUAGCUGCGCCCCUUGCCUCUUGUGAGGGAGAAAAACCUCACCUGCGGAGUUGGCUUAUUUAGGGUAUUUAUAUCCUGCUCCUCAGCCAAAAAGACUCCCGCAGCGACUUAUGAGGAAUUAAAGCAAUACGCUCCCUUACAAUCUUAAAAUGAAAAAGGAAUACAACGCCCAAGAGGACAGGGGAAAAUAAAUCUCAAAAGUUUAAGCACCAAUUUCUAGAGACAGUUGUUCCUGUGCUGACCAGCUGGCAUAGUUAAGAGGCAGAAGGUGCCAGCAGAGCUGGGCCUCCUGCAAAGUGGAUGCAAUGAACCAACUUCCUCUCUUGCCCUGAGACAGGGUGAUGGAAUGCCUCUACCCAGGUGACAGUUGAGGGUGAGGAGGCCUGAUGGAAUGAGUUGCCAUAAGAUUGGAGAAUUGUAGAGUUGGAAGGGGUCCCAAGGGUCAUCUGGUUCAACUCCACUGAAGUUUUUUUAAUAGAGGUUGAAUGGCCAUUGGUCAGGGAUGCAUUGCAGGGAGUUGGACCAGAUUACAUUAGAUAUUUGAAGAUGGCUAUCAUAUCUCCUCUCAGUCUCCGCUUUACCAGGCUGAAUGUACCCAACUUCCUCAACCAUUCCUCAUAAGGCUUGAUUUCCAGACCCUUGAUCAUCUUGGUCACCCUCUGCACACACUCUAGAUCCUUAAAUUAUGGCGUCAAGAACAGGACACAGUACUCCAGGUGUUGUCUGACCAAGCCGAGCUCAACGACUCAGUUCCAGCACCUCUCAAGUGGGCACCAUUGCCAUUAUAAGAGAACAAAGGAGGAGUUCAUGAUUUAAAGUGACAGGGCUGAGAAAGACUUCGGCUUGGUGGUCCCCAAGAAAUCAGUGGAGAGAUACC